RNAcentral lists this ribosomal RNA (215 nucleotides) under uncultured Staphylococcus sp. Its description in RNAcentral is "partial 16S ribosomal RNA". It matches the Rfam family "Bacterial small subunit ribosomal RNA", at positions 126 to 334 of the family's 1533-position model. Lineage: Bacteria; Bacillati; Bacillota; Bacilli; Caryophanales; Staphylococcaceae. The record is from RNAcentral.
CUACCUAUAAGACUGGGAGUAACUACUGGAAACCGGAGCUAAUACCGGAUAAUAUAUUGAACCGCAUGGUUCAAUAGUGAAAGACGGUUUUGCUGUCACUUAUAGAUGGAUCCGCGCCGCAUUAGCUAGUUGGUAAGGUAACGGCUUACCAAGGCAACGAUGCGUAGCCGACCUGAGAGGGUGAUCGGCCACACUGGAACUGAGACACGGUCCAG